RNAcentral lists this transfer RNA (90 nucleotides) under Candidatus Omnitrophota bacterium. RNAcentral's name for it is "tRNA-Ser". It matches the Rfam family "tRNA". Rfam says of the family: Transfer RNA (tRNA) molecules are approximately 80 nucleotides in length. Their secondary structure includes four short double-helical elements and three loops (D, anti-codon, and T loops). Further hydrogen bonds mediate the characteristic L-shaped molecular structure. tRNAs have two regions of fundamental functional importance: the anti-codon, which is responsible for specific mRNA codon recognition, and the 3' end, to which the tRNAs corresponding amino acid is attached (by aminoacyl-tRNA synthetases). tRNAs cope with the degeneracy of the genetic code in two manners: having more than one tRNA (with a specific anti-codon) for a particular amino acid; and 'wobble' base-pairing, i.e. permitting non-standard base-pairing at the 3rd anti-codon position. Lineage: Bacteria; Pseudomonadati; Candidatus Omnitrophota. The record is from RNAcentral.
GGAGAGUUGGCAGAGUGGACUAUCGCGCACGCCUCGAAAGCGUGAGAGCUCGUAAGGGCUCCAGAGGUUCGAAUCCUCUACUCUCCGCCA